GCUGCUAUAUUCACUAGAGCGCAGCACCCCCUGCAUUGUGUAUUCAGACCGAGCGCCAUACAUACAGGUACAAUGCUGGUGUUGACCCUUCAUGAUAAAAGGACAUGUUCCAUGCUCUUACUACAAUGUAUGGGCAGGAAGAAAUUCCUGCACAAGGGUUUGUACCAGGCCUGCUGGGAACAUCAGAUGGAGCCCUGCAGUUCAUGGCCUACAAGAAACUGAAAAUGGACUUUACAAGCAUUUCCAUCGACCCAGUGACACAAAACCGGAAAGAAGAGUUCCAUGGAGUCUACUAGAGCAAUGUCUUCAGCAUUAUCCCAGAGACCUCCGCCUGCGGAAUCACCUUAUUAGCUUCAAUUCUACUUUC
Long non-coding RNA from Bufo bufo (common toad), 367 nucleotides. RefSeq lists it as uncharacterized. The transcript is spliced from 4 exons. Lineage: Eukaryota; Metazoa; Chordata; Amphibia; Anura; Bufonidae. The record is from RefSeq and is a predicted model, not a curated record.